Molecule: long non-coding RNA, 2046 nt
Organism: Tupaia belangeri chinensis (Chinese tree shrew)
Lineage: Eukaryota; Metazoa; Chordata; Mammalia; Scandentia; Tupaiidae
Exons: 7
Source: RefSeq, a predicted model, not a curated record
GGGUCCCUCUCCGGCGCAGCUCCGAGCCGCUGCGCUCCCCCGCUGGCCUCUGCGGGCGUGUUCGCUUCGGAGCUCGGGAGCCUGGGAGACGUCCGCUGUGCUCGCGGCGCCGCUCCAACUACUUCGAGCCCGACCGGUCCGAAGCCUGCGAGUUUGAGGACUCCCUUCUGGGAGAAAAGGCCUGAGUCAGGCUGAGCGCUGGAGGUGGAAGAUGCUCCGCGUGCCCGAGUGAUCGCCUCUCUGCAUAACACUCAAACCCUAAUGGCAACAGCAUGUAUCUCACUGGGUGGAGGCCCAGAGAGCAAAACCAAGGAUGAAAGAGGGCGAGGGGGGAAGAAGGAGUGCAGCUCGCCUGGAGAGAAGUCGUCUCCCCUGAGCUGGGGAACUGGAAAGCCGUCUGCAGCCAUGACAGGACCAGGGUUUCGGAAGGAUCUGGAGCAACUGGGCACCUCGUUUUUACAAAGAUUUUUGCCAUAGGGCGAGUAGGUUCGCUGAAAAAAGACACACAGGAAGAUACAAGGAGAGAGGGAAAGCGAGAAAGCACCUUCCCAAAGGAGAGGCCAUGCUGCAGUCCCUUCUCCAUUCUCUUGUCGGGAUUUUGGACAGCAAAAACAGAGGUUUCAAGACUGAAAAGCAGAUCACGCCUAAGAACAUGGCAACGUCCAGUCCAGAAGGCACCUGUGACCGUCUGCGUGGAGACAGGCACAGGAAGUCCUAUGGUGAGGAGUCUGCAGAGGAGGAGACCAAGGCACAGACCCUGACUGUCCACGGCCACACCUGGCAGGGUGGGGUGUGACCCUGGGCACCUGUGUGGCCUUUCAGUAAGUAGCUCACGGUGGACGUUCGAGCAAACACGUCACCACUGGGUGCUGUGGGAUGUGAGGACUGAGGCUCUCUGUGGGCUGACUCUGCCAUGUAGCUGGAGCAGUUGGGUGUGCUGGGAGUCAAACUUGGAUCUCCCCCGGCCUCAGCUAGCCGAGGAGCAGCAUCAACUGGCAUGUGCCACGAAGCUGGGCCGACGAGGCUGGGCGAAGGUGGGGCAGAGGACUCUGUGGGCAGUCCCACGCAGGAGCUGCCCUGGGAGCACGUCUCUGUCACGACCAGAGACCUGCCUGAGGUGCUGGGUGCACGCUCCCGUGACCCAGGACUCUGCUGGCUCUGUCUCUGUCUUGCUCACGGAAGAAAGAAACCACCUGAAGAAGGGACUCGGACAGCAAUGGGGAUGCAGGGACGAGGAGGAGGCCGACCGGAGCGAGGAUAUUGCCUCUCGGCAGCACGUUACCUGUCGGGCCUUAGUGUUGUCACCUGCUAAAGCACACGAGUGUCAGACUCACCACCGUGCCGCUGAUCAAGGCCGAUGAUGGCAGCGUGUGACGGUGCCUUGCACGCGAGGUGACGAUAUGAAGAUAAGCCACCAUUGCCGUCUUCCUAGCCAGGUUCUGGCUGGGUGUGGGGACAAGUCACUGCAAGGGAGAGAGAGGACAUGGGGGAGGGGACAGCGCAGUCUCAGGCAUUCACCAAAGGGACUUGACUCAGAGCUCGAAGCUCCUCCUGGCCAGGAGUCUCGCUGCCCCGCCUCUGCCCGUCCCACCCAGUGAGGAAGUUUGGGGGCUACUUUAGAUGGCCCCUCUUCUAGAGUUCAGGGUUCCAGCCUAGGAAACAAGGGGACAGUGUUAGAGAGCCCUGGGGACCAGCUGGUGGUGUGGUGGUUAAGGCAUUGGAUCCCACAUUGCCAACUACACACCUGUUUGAGUCCAAAACCUGGUGGCUUAAAAAAAUGCCGGGUGCAUAUGCACGGGUGCCCCACCUCCCAAAGCAGAGUGGGUGAGAAGGGGCCGUGGCGCGGCCGUUUCUACAGGGUGAUUUUCCACUUUCCCUUUCUCCCCUGUGAACACGUGCACCCUAUAGUGAAAAUCUAAACAAAGCAAAACAAAAACCAAAAAGCAAAUUUGGACUUAUCUUCUCCACAUAGGAAAAGUUUAGCAGUCAAUAAAUCAGGACUUAAAUAAAACAAAACCAAAAUAAAUCCCUUCUGAUGGAACCUCC